GCUACCAUGCAGUCGAGGGGUAACAGGAGUAGCUUGCUACUUGCUGACGACCGGCGCACGGGUGCGUAACGCGUAUAGAAUCUACCUUGUACUAGGGGAUAGCCUUUGGAAACGAAGAUUAAUACCCUAUAGUAAGUAUUUAUGGCAUCAUUUAUACUUUAAAGGUUACGGUACAAGAUGACUAUGCGUCCUAUUAGUUUGUUGGUGAGGUAACGGCUCACCAAGACUUCGAUAGGUAGGGGCCCUGAGAGGGGGAUCCCCCACACUGGUACUGAGACACGGACCAGACUCCUACGGGAGGCAGCAGUGAGGAAUAUUGGACAAUGGAGGCAACUCUGAUCCAGCCAUGCCGCGUGCAGGAUGACGGCCCUAUGGGUUGUAAACUGCUUUUAUGUAGGAAGAAACACUCUCACGUGUGAGAGCUUGACGGUACUACAAGAAUAAGGACCGGCUAACUCCGUGCCAGCAGUCGGG
RNAcentral lists this ribosomal RNA (474 nucleotides) under Flavobacteriaceae bacterium enrichment culture clone PSHTC-036. RNAcentral describes it as "bacterial SSU rRNA". It matches the Rfam family "Bacterial small subunit ribosomal RNA", at positions 48 to 519 of the family's 1533-position model. The record is from RNAcentral. Lineage: Bacteria; Pseudomonadati; Bacteroidota; Flavobacteriia; Flavobacteriales; Flavobacteriaceae.